Molecule: ribosomal RNA, 296 nt
Filed under: bacterium enrichment culture clone ALO1_GLFRUDD03G0O1P
Lineage: Bacteria
Description: partial 16S ribosomal RNA
Rfam family: Bacterial small subunit ribosomal RNA
Source: RNAcentral
GAGUUUGAUCCUGGCUCAGGACGAACGCUGGCGGCGUGCUUAACACAUGCAAGUCGAACGGAGCAUUUUGGAAUGAGGUUUCGGCCAAAGGAAGGAAUGCUUAGUGGCGGACUGGUGAGUAACGCGUGAGGAACCUGCCUUUCAGUGGGGGACAACAGUUGGAAACGACUGCUAAUACCGCAUGACACAUUUGGGUGGCAUCACUUGAAUGUCAAAGAUUUAUCGCUGAAAGAUAGGCCUCGCGUCUGAUUAGCUAGUUGGUGAGGUAAUGGGCCCACCAAGGCGACGAUCAGUAG